UCCCUGGUGGUCUAGUGGCUAGGACUCAGUGCUGUCACCACUGAGGCCCAGGUUCAAUCCCUGGUCUCGGAA
Transfer RNA from Sus scrofa (pig), 72 nucleotides. It matches the Rfam family "tRNA". From Rfam's summary of the family: Transfer RNA (tRNA) molecules are approximately 80 nucleotides in length. Their secondary structure includes four short double-helical elements and three loops (D, anti-codon, and T loops). The record is from Rfam. Lineage: Eukaryota; Metazoa; Chordata; Mammalia; Artiodactyla; Suidae.